GUCCACGUUGCGGCGGACCAGAGCCAGAAACCUGUCAGGAUCGUGAGUGCAGCCGGCCACAGCCUCGUCGUCAUAGCGAGGAGGCCGGCGGU
RNAcentral lists this small RNA (92 nucleotides) under Sinorhizobium saheli. Its description in RNAcentral is "Rhizobiales sRNA Atu_Ti1". It matches the Rfam family "Rhizobiales sRNA Atu_Ti1". The record is from Rfam by way of RNAcentral. Lineage: Bacteria; Pseudomonadati; Pseudomonadota; Alphaproteobacteria; Hyphomicrobiales; Rhizobiaceae.